This 253-nucleotide ribosomal RNA is filed under the name uncultured bacterium. RNAcentral describes it as "partial 16S ribosomal RNA". It matches the Rfam family "Bacterial small subunit ribosomal RNA", at positions 524 to 776 of the family's 1533-position model. The record is from RNAcentral.
UACAGAGGUCUCAAGCGUUGUUCGGAUUCAUUGGGCGUAAAGGGUGCGUAGGUGGCGUCGUAAGUCGGGUGUGAAAUUUCGGAGCUUAACUCCGAAACUGCAUUCGAUACUGCGGUGCUUGAGGACUGGAGAGGAGACUGGAAUUCAUGGUGUAGCAGUGAAAUGCGUAGAGAUCAUGAGGAAGACCAGUGGCGAAGGCGGGUCUCUGGACAGUUCCUGACACUGAGGCACGAAGGCCAGGGGAGCAAACGGG